AAAAUACAACCGGGGAGCUUGUGGAAACAGGCUGAGAGGAGGCUGUACCGCCUCGACCCGCCGACCUGAUUUGGGUAAUGCCAACGUAGGGACUGAUCCGGCCUGGACU
Lachnoclostridium sp. An14 is the source of this 109-nucleotide regulatory RNA element. It matches the Rfam family "TPP riboswitch aptamer (THI element)". From Rfam's summary of the family: Vitamin B(1) in its active form thiamin pyrophosphate (TPP) is an essential coenzyme that is synthesised by coupling of pyrimidine and thiazole moieties in bacteria. The previously detected thiamin-regulatory element, thi box was extended, resulting in a new, highly conserved RNA secondary structure, the THI element, which is widely distributed in eubacteria and also occurs in some archaea. Analysis of operon structures identified a large number of new candidate thiamin-regulated genes, mostly transporters, in various prokaryotic organisms. NCBI's taxonomy places the organism in Bacteria, Bacillati, Bacillota, Clostridia, Lachnospirales, Lachnospiraceae. The record is from Rfam.